CAAUAGCGUAUAUUAAAGUUGUUGCGGUUAAAAGCUCGUAGUUGGAUUUCUGCCUGAGGCAGCCGGUCCGCACUUAGUGCGUGUAUCUGGUUUGGUUUGGGCAUCCUCUUGGGGAUCGUUGCUGUGCUUAGUUGCAUGGUGCGGAAUUCAAGACGUUUACUUUGAGGAAAUUAGAGUGUUCACGGCAGGCAAUCGCCUUGAAUAUAUUAGCAUGGAAUAAUAAUAUAGGAUCUUGGGUCUAUUUUGUUGGUUUCUAGAGCUAAGAUAAUGAUUAAUAGGGACAAUUGGGGGCAUUCGUAUUAACACGUCAGAGGUGGAAUUCUUAGAUUGUGUUACGACGAACUACUGCGAAAGCAUUUGCCAAGGAUGUUUUCAUUGAUCAAGAACGAAAGUGAGGGGAUCGAAGACGAUCAGAUACCA
RNAcentral lists this ribosomal RNA (420 nucleotides) under uncultured eukaryote. RNAcentral's name for it is "bacterial SSU rRNA". It matches the Rfam family "Eukaryotic small subunit ribosomal RNA", at positions 592 to 1017 of the family's 1831-position model. The record is from RNAcentral.